CAGGCUGAGACGGUUCACUGGGGUCCAUGCUGGACCGUUGUCCCUGAUGUUGCAUUCAGUAAGCCCCAUGCUUUGACAGAAGGCGGAAUGGGAUGGGAAAGCUGUGAUGGGAAUGUUGGCAGCCACACAGGACUGAAGGCUGCUAUGCCCUCUGGAGCUUCGCAAAGGAUGCCAACCCUUAAAUCAGAGUUUUGAAACAGACAAACAACCCCAAAACUAAUUUUUUUCAGAGCCUGAAAGUGCCAAAGUAAAGUGUGAAAUCAUUAAGAAAUAAAGAUACUUGGAUGUAUUUGAAACUUCUGUUUCCAAAGACUUUAAAUUUGGCUUCAUUUAAUUUAGCCAUAGGGAGAUGGCUGAUAUAGAUCUGUGGGCCUAUUUUGCUCAAACACUGAAUAUAGAAAGGUGUUCAACUACAACUUGGAUGCUAAUGACUGUAAAUUUCAGCAACUCUGUCAUGUUCCCCAGUGAAAAUCUGACCUAAAAGAACUGUACAAAGCCAUACUUUCCUCUCAAAGCAUAAGGGAUUUUGCAUGGAAACAGAGACCAGGAAGUGCAGAUUUUUCAGUGUUCCUCCAAGCUCAUGUACCAGUUGCACGGCUUCAGUGGAGGGCAGUGUAGGGUCCUAGUGGACAGCCUAGCCUGGGUCUGGAGUUGGACAGAGCAAGUCUGAAUCCUGUCCUCAUCACUUUGUAGCUGUGUGUCGGGCAGUAAGGCAGGGCAACUGAAGGAGCGAAGACUGGUGAUGACAGCAAGGGAAGGAGGAACUGAUUUCAGAGAGAUGCUUGGAGAUAAAGGAACCAAUAACCAGACCUUGAAUAUGCAUAGCUCUUUACCCUUUUCAAAGUGUGUUCCCAUAAUUAACUUGUUCAAUCCUCUUGACAACUCUGUGAAGUACAUGGGGUACAUGCUAUGCCCAAUUAAAGAAAGAUGA
RNAcentral lists this long non-coding RNA (931 nucleotides) under Equus asinus (donkey). RNAcentral's name for it is "lncRNA (ENSEASG00005027906.1)". Lineage: Eukaryota; Metazoa; Chordata; Mammalia; Perissodactyla; Equidae. The record is from RNAcentral.